GACGAACGCUGGCGGCGUGCUUAACACAUGCAAGUCGAACGGAAAGGCCCUGCUUUUGUGGGGUGCUCGAGUGGCGAACGGGUGAGUAACACGUGAGUAACCUGCCCUUGACUUUGGGAUAACUUCAGGAAACUGGGGCUAAUACCGGAUAGGAGCUCCUGCUGCAUGGUGGGGGUUGGAAAGUUUCGGCGGUUGGUGAUGGACUCGCGGCUUAUCAGCUUGUUGGUGGGGUAGUGGCUUACCAAGGCUUUGACGGGUAGCCGGCCUGAGAGGGUGACCGGCCACAUUGGGCCUGAGAUAAGACCCAGACUCGUACGGUAGGCAGCGGUGGAGAAUAUUGCACAGUGGGCGGAAGCCUGAUGCAGCAACGCCGCGUGCGGGAUGACGGCCUGCGGGUUGUAAACCGCUUUCGCCUGUGACGAAGCGUGAGUGACGGUAAUGGGUAAAGAAGCACCGGCUAACUACGUG
RNAcentral lists this ribosomal RNA (468 nucleotides) under uncultured bacterium. Its description in RNAcentral is "partial 16S ribosomal RNA". It matches the Rfam family "Bacterial small subunit ribosomal RNA", at positions 28 to 507 of the family's 1533-position model. The record is from RNAcentral.